CAGGUGCUGCAUGGCUGUCGUCAGCUCGUGUUGUGAAAUGUUGGGUUAAGUCCCGCAACGAGCGCAACCCUUAUCCUUUGUUGCCAGCGAUUAGGUCGGGAACUCAAAGGAGACUGCCAGUGAUAAACUGGAGGAAGGUGGGGAUGACGUCAAGUCAUCAUGGCCCUUACGACCAGGGCUACACACGUGCUACAAUGGCGCAUACAAAGAGAAGCGACCUCGCGAGAGCAAGCGGACCUCAUAAAGUGCGUCGUAGUCCGGAUUGGAGUCUGCAACUCGACUCCAUGAAGUCGGAAUCGCUAGUAAUCGUGGAUCAGAAUGCCACGGUGAAUACGUUCCCGGGCCUUGUACACACCGCCCGUCACACCAUGGGAGUGGGUUGCAAAAGAAGUAGGUAGCUUAACCUUCGGGAGGGCGCUUACCACUUUGUGAUUCAUGACUGGGGUGAAGUCGUAACAAGGUAACCGUAGGGGAACCUGC
Molecule: ribosomal RNA, 480 nt
Filed under: Salmonella enterica
Lineage: Bacteria; Pseudomonadati; Pseudomonadota; Gammaproteobacteria; Enterobacterales; Enterobacteriaceae
Also listed under: 7 other names
Description: bacterial SSU rRNA
Rfam family: Bacterial small subunit ribosomal RNA
Source: RNAcentral